RNAcentral lists this long non-coding RNA (593 nucleotides) under Phaseolus vulgaris (common bean). Its description in RNAcentral is "long non-coding RNA (PVUL_LNC002175)". Lineage: Eukaryota; Viridiplantae; Streptophyta; Magnoliopsida; Fabales; Fabaceae. The record is from RNAcentral.
UUGCAGAAAUUCACAAAUAAGAUUAUGGUAGUAAUUGCCAAAAUCUGCUUUACUUGUCUUCUAUUCUUGAAAUAGCUGCUUGUCAUGAAUAGAAUUUGUAGGGAAGGUGUCUUGUUUGUUGGAGCAGAACUUCAAUGUGUUCUUUUUCUUUUUUCUAAUAAAUAUUGUCCGGGUGCACACUUUUGGUAGUUUUGUGGAUUUUAUAGAUUUAAACCAUUCAGGUGUAAUUUAAGAUUGUUGAAAACCUGGAAUGAUCUGAUUUUAUGUGAUAAUCAUUUAGGAAAUAUUUGGGAGAUUGAAUUAACUUUAACAAUGGACAUAGAGUGCAGUUUUUCAAUUGAAACAUCACUAUGUCAAUCUUUUGUACUGUUUUGUUGUUCAGGUGUAAUUUAAGAUUGUUGAAAACCUGGAAUGAUCUGAUUUUAUAUGUGAUAAUCAUUUAGGAAAUAUUUGGGAGAUUGAAUUAACUUUAACAAUGGACAUAGAGUGCAGCUUUUCAAUUGAAACAUCACUGUGAAUCUUUUGUACUGUUUUGUUGUUCACACUCGAUGCAUUCUACCAAUAUUUUCUAAAUUUCUCUUGUUUCCUUUCAG